Molecule: long non-coding RNA, 644 nt
Organism: Aplysia californica (California sea hare)
Lineage: Eukaryota; Metazoa; Mollusca; Gastropoda; Aplysiida; Aplysiidae
Exons: 3
Source: RefSeq, a predicted model, not a curated record
AACAUACUCGUUCCCGUUCAGACCCCUGCGCCGCAUUCAAAUGUAAGGAUGAACCCCCCCUCCCCCACUUCCUUUUUUACGUUUAGUUUUUUUUUCUACAUGUAGAUCUACUUUGUGCAAAAGGAAAGGGGAGACUGAUUGACGAACUUGCGGAGUGGAAAGCUGCCAAGAGUCCGCGAAUAGAGCAGGAGAAUUCUCCAUUUGGUAAACACAAGUUGAUGAUCGUUUCUAGUCAGUGGACCUUAUUUUACCGAAUUUUGACAUUCCCGGACUACAGUUUCCAGCAUGACAAUGUCUCGCCUGCUAACUGGCAUGGUGCUCGUAGCGACGCUUGCACUGGCUGCUUCCGUUUCCGUCCCUGAACUGUGCAGUCUGAAGCCUGAAGUGGGAUGGUGUCGUGCCCAUAUGAUCAUGUUCUACUACGAACCGGUGAACAACACUUGCUACGAGUUUGUUUACGGCGGUUGCGAUGGAAACGACAACAAUUUCGAUAAUGCGUCUGUCUGCAUGGAGACUUGCGGAAACGGAAGUAUGACGUCAUCAAAAGUGAACGCCCUCGGACUUUUUGGCUCUCUUGGAGUUGGAGUUAUGUUUGUGUACAAAUAUAUUUUGUCAUUAUAAUUAAAAUAAAAUAUUUUAAAAAU